UGGGGAAUAUUGGACAAUGGGGGCAACCCUGAUCCAGCAAUGCCGCGUGUGUGAAGAAGGCCUGCGGGUUGUAAAGCACUUUUGGCAGGGAUGAAAAGCACUGGAUUAAUAACCCAGUGUGUUGACCUAACCUGCAGAAGAAGCACCGGCUAACUCUGUGCCAGCAGCCGCGGUAAUACAGGGGGUGCGAGCGUUAAUCGGAAUUACUGGGCGUAAAGCGUGCGCAGGCGGCGACAUAAGACAGAUGUGAAAUCCCCGGGCUCAACCUGGGAACUGCGUUUGUGACUGUGUUGCUAGAGUGUAGCAGAGGGGGGUGGAAUUCCACGUGUAGCAGUGAAAUGCGUAGAGAUGUGGAGGAACACCGAUGGCGAAGGCAGCCCCCUGGGUUAACACUGACGCUCAUGCACGAAAGCGUGGGGAACAAACAGGAUUAGAUACCCAAGUAGUCCCUGAGCGGGCUGGCAAGGCGCAU
Molecule: ribosomal RNA, 472 nt
Filed under: uncultured bacterium
Lineage: Bacteria
Description: bacterial SSU rRNA
Rfam family: Bacterial small subunit ribosomal RNA
Source: RNAcentral